UCUGAAACUUCAAGAAAAUAAUGAUUCAUCUCCGCAAUAAUAAUCAUAGGAUCUAAUUACCCUAACAAAAUCCAUGAGGAAAAUGUGAUCAUCUAGUUUCCUAACACCCUUCUAACAAUGUACUGCAUGUUAAUUUGCUAGUAGCCAUGUGUGCCAGGUGGGAAGGUCCUUUCAUGGGGGCUUACAUUCUAAAAGUGAACAAGAUACCAUAUUGGAUGACACUUACAGAGAAGGGAAUGAGGUGGACUGAAGCAGUAUGUUUGACAUUUUAGGUAGGAGCUGGGGCAACAAACCCUGGGACAAAGUAAGAAAGGUAGUCUUGAUGGUGUCUUGCAGGAGGCAUCUUAAGAAACAAAGAGCACAAAGGCUUUGCGAUAGGGCAUGCUUAGAAUGGCACAAGUAUAAUCAAGUCCAUUGCUGCUGCAGAAGAUGAAGUAAGAACAGGAGACUGUGAGAUUUUGUAGUCACUGAAAAGCCAAGAUGUCAACUUCAACUGAGACCAGACACCACAAGACGAUUCUGGGCAGAGAAAUGAUACCAACAUUUUGAUUUUAACAGGACUGCUCUAGUUGCUAUGAGGGAAACAAUGUGAAGGGUAGAAGGCUAGAGUGAGAUCAGUAAGAGGCUAAUGUAAUGUAAGAGAAGACACUGGACUAGGUGGAAACAGGAGUAGUUCAAGUUCUGAAUAAAUGUUUGUGACGGAGCCAAUAUGAUUUGAAGACAAACUAGAUGUGUGAGAAAUGGACAAGUCAAGGAUGAAUGACAGGUGCUUUCUUCCUUCUUAAGUGUAGGCAACAAGAAGAGACUACUAUUAAGCAUUUGUGAAUUUUCAGGAAGCCAGUUUUAAAUACAUGCCUGAGAUAUUUACCAAACAUCAAGAAUUCAGGAAACCCUGCAGGUGGCUCUAAUGUAACAGGCACAUCUAAGAGAAGUCUGGCUAAAGUAAGUGGGGUUGUCAUCACCAGAGAGAAAAACCACCAGGUAAGAUCACAUGGGUAAUGAAGCAGCAAUCUAAGAGCCAAGUCUGAGUUCUGGGGGUUCCAUAUUUAGAGGUUGGCGUGACAUGCGCACGUCAAACUAAGAGACGGGCAUGUAAAAGAAAACCAGAGAAAAGUGUUUCCAGAAGCCAGUGAUAAAAGCUUUUGACAGAAAAGACAAAAUCAGAAAGAGGGAGAAAAAGAAAGAAUACUGGAUUUGCCACAAGAUCUCUGGAGACCUAGGAAAAAGUUUGGUAAAGCAUGAAACCCUGGAAUGUAUUCAGGAAAACUGGAACGACAUGGAGGGAAGGACAGGCUGUUGGACAGUGGCCAAAAAUGACUUCAGGGCUUUAGUUUACAGAAAAACAUGUGUUUAACACUAAUGGGAAUCAUCAAGGUAGAGAAUGAGCCAUUAGUGAUUCAGAAGACAGACCUGAGAACCACAUCUCUGAGUAUUCAAAGUCAUGGAGCUGGUACAUGGAAAAGCUUUAGCUGGUCAGGGUGAAGACAAGGAUACACAGACACAGGUGAAGACACAUGUGGUAACAGAGUGUACAGUCUAUUUUCUCACUACUGCAAUUGUCUCUGAAAUAGAAAGCAAGGUUGUCCUCUGAAUAAGAAAGGUGCAGCUGUCACAUUUUGGGGCAAGAAACACUGAUCUCAGAGUAGACAGGAGGAGAAUUUGAGUGAGACUGGUGUGACAUGUCCUGCUAGAGCACAUGUCCUACUUGUAAGGGAUAGAGCCAAGGCAGCUUGUUCAUCCUGCCUUUCUCCAAAACCAUUUGAAUAGCUGUGCUAGACAUAGACAGGCAAAACCCAAUUAAGACAGGAUUGAAGUUUAACCAAAGAACAAUGAAAGAAAGGCAUGUGAAGGUAAUUGCAGGACCGUGAAUAUAAUGAUUAACGACAAAACUACCACAGGCUAAGGAGAAAAGGAAGGACACAGUGCAGAAGAACAAACCCUGACUGCGUGGCCCACCAGUGGGUUCAGAGCUGAAACGGAUCACUGAGCACUACAGAGGGAAGAGCUGGAGAGAAGAACCAACAGCGGGAACAGGUCUGAAAGGCCACAAACGCACACCAGCAACAAGAGACUUGAGUGGCAAUGGGAGCAGCAAAAGGAGAACACAAAGAAUGAGUGACCGGGGCCUCAAAAGAAUCACCAAACCCACAGAGAUCAAAACAGGAAACUGAAACCCUCAACCAUCGCUUUAGGCACCCUUAGACGUUCUGCUGAGAAGUCUGCAGCUAGUCCAGAGAAGAUCCCACGUGUUGGCACUCUUGUCUUGGCCUUUGUUAGUUUGACUAUAUACAUAUAUACACCUAAGGGAGGACCUUUCUUGAGUGAAUCUACUAGGGGUCUCUCAGGCUCUUGGACCUGGAAGUAUACAUUAACUGAAGACUUGAAAAAAAUGCCCUUUUUUGCUGUAUUCAUUUUAUAUGCCUAUUUUCCUUCUAUUACGAAAUCCGAAUAAUAGUACUAUUUGCUUAAC
This is a long non-coding RNA of Mesocricetus auratus (golden hamster), 2470 nucleotides long. RefSeq lists it as uncharacterized. The transcript has 3 exons. The record is from RefSeq and is a predicted model, not a curated record. NCBI's taxonomy places the organism in Eukaryota, Metazoa, Chordata, Mammalia, Rodentia, Cricetidae.